CCGAGUUAGGGUCCUCUAGGGCUCGACCUCCUACCCUUUGUCUACCUUACCUUUUGUUGCUUCGGCGGACCCGUCUCUCAGGGGACCGCCGGAGAGCUCACGCUCUCUGGCCCGCGUCCGCCGGCGGCGCACAAACCAAAACUCUUGUUUAAACGUGUCGUCUAAGUACAAAAACAACGAAGUAA
This 185-nucleotide unclassified non-coding RNA is filed under the name uncultured Rhinocladiella. RNAcentral describes it as "sequence contains ITS1". Lineage: Eukaryota; Fungi; Ascomycota; Eurotiomycetes; Chaetothyriales; Herpotrichiellaceae. The record is from RNAcentral.